Long non-coding RNA from Astatotilapia calliptera (eastern happy), 1200 nucleotides. Lineage: Eukaryota; Metazoa; Chordata; Actinopteri; Cichliformes; Cichlidae. The record is from Ensembl.
UGUUAUUUUGCUAAAAGAGAACACCAGAGUCAUAUCAAUUCACACGCCGGCAGACUGUGAUUUUUCACAGCCUCCCCCAACAUAGCCUACAUGGACAGAAUACCUCUUUAAUGUGUUCCUACGAGAUAAAAUGCUUCCACAGGCGAUUAACCAUUCCACCCCACUCCCAUUCAUUUCACUUCAUCAGAUUACUUGAUUGCUUGCUAAAUGGACUGCCUCUCUCCUCCAGGAAAAUACACUGUAUGUAUUUCCUUUGGACAAAGUGACAGAGGGUUGAUUUAUUUUCCCUCGCAUACUGUGCUUUUAGGCAUUUCAUCAGUCUUAGUUCAGUUCAGUCAACUGAACUUCAGGUUUGAGCCGCGGGUUUAUAUAAUUCCAAGAGAUAUUUUAUAUGUAGGUCCACACAGUGGCCCUGAGCUGUUUUUGGAGUUUCAGGCUGUGAAUAGUGAAAUUUUUGAACUGUCUCUACUUUAUAAAGUAUAAAUGAAUUAAACAGGGAUUCGUACUUUUCUUCCAAUCCAAUAGUUGUUCUUCUACAUUGUGGUUCAAACCCCACGGCGACACAAACACGAAGCACAGGGUAAUGAAUACCACUCAUAUAUAUGACCAUGAAAUCCAAGACUGGAAGUAUGAGGAAGCAGCUGGUCGAGAGGCAACAAAAUCCAGCUCAAAAUAAAGCUCAUUAAUAAUGAGGUUCUGUCUGUUAUGUAAGUUAAAUCUGUAUAAAAAAACAAAAACAAAAAAAGGUAAGUUGCAGUUGUGUGUGCGAGUUAGUGAGCUUCAGAGGAUCUGGUGAGCAGAUUUUGUGAUCACUUAAAAGACCCAGGCCAGCUGUUUCCUCCUCCUCCUCCUCAAAAAAAAAAAAGUGUACUUAUUCCAAAAAUAUCAAACUAAUUCAGCAUGUAGCACACUCAAAGGAAAAUGGAUUAUCUCUCUCUGAGCCAGACCAUUAACGACCUAGGUGCAAGGCUAUUGAUAUAAUGUAACUCGUAGACUUGUGAAAUUAUGUGAAUACAGCGCUGCUCAGAAAAAGGCCGGACAAGAUCCCCCCGUUUAACGCUGUGCUCUCAUUGUGUUCCCGAGAGAUGAAAUAAGUCUUACGCCUUGACGUGCUCCUGAAUCCAAGUGCUAAAGACACUGACAUUGCUUUUCACAGUGUAUGAUUAAAUUGAAUUCUGCCUUCUCUUGAGGCGCUUUUUC